Molecule: ribosomal RNA, 495 nt
Filed under: uncultured bacterium
Lineage: Bacteria
Description: partial 16S ribosomal RNA
Rfam family: Bacterial small subunit ribosomal RNA
Source: RNAcentral
GACGAACGCUGGCGGCGUGCCUAAUACAUGCAAGUAGAACGCUGAAGGAGGAGCUUGCGCUGCUGGAGGAGUUGCGAACGGGGGAGGAACGCGUAGGGAACCUGCCUGGUAGCGGGGGAUAACUAUUGGAAACGAGAGCGAAUACCGCAGAACAGUAGAGGUUGCAUGACAUUUGGGUAAGAGGUGCAAUUGCACCACUACCAGAUGGACCUGCGUGGUCUUAGCUAGUUGGUGGGGUAACGGCUCCCCAAGGCGACGAUACAUAGCCGACCUGAGAGGGGGAUCGGCCACACUGGGACUGCGACACGGCCCCGACUCCUCCGGGAGGCAGCAGUAGUGGAUCUUCGGCCAUGGUCGGCAGUCUGCCCGAGCAACGCCGCGUCAGGGAAGAAGGUUUUCGGAUCGUAAAGCUCCGUUUUCAGAGAAGAACGAGUGUGAGAGUUGAAAGUUCACACUGUGACGGUAUCUUAACAGAAAGCGACGGCUAACUACGUG